This 497-nucleotide ribosomal RNA is filed under the name uncultured bacterium. RNAcentral describes it as "partial 16S ribosomal RNA". It matches the Rfam family "Bacterial small subunit ribosomal RNA", at positions 28 to 523 of the family's 1533-position model. The record is from RNAcentral.
GACGAACGCUGGCGGCGUGCUUAACACAUGCAAGUCGAACGAAGCACUUUUAUUUGAUUUCUUCGGAAUGAAGAUUUUAGUGACUGAGUGGCGGACGGGUGAGUAACGCGUGGGUAACCUGCCUCAUACAGGGGGAUAACAGUUAGAAAUGACUGCUAAUACCGCAUAAGACCACAGCACCGCAUGGUGCCGGGGUAAAAACUCCGGUGGUAUGAGAUGGACCCGCGUCUGCUUAGGUAGUUGGUGGGGUAACGGCCUACCAAGCCGACGAUCAGUAGCCGACCUGAGAGGGUGACCGGCCACGUUGGGACUGAGACACGGCCCAAACUCCUACGGGAGGCAGCAGUGGGGAAUAUUGCACAAUGGGGGAAACCCUGAUGCAGCGACGCCGCGUGAGCGAUGAAGUAUUUCGGUAUGUAAAGCUCUAUCAGCAGGGAAGAAAGUGACGGUACCUGACUAAGAAGCACCGGCUAAAUACGUGCCAGCCGCCGCAGUAA